RNAcentral lists this ribosomal RNA (483 nucleotides) under uncultured bacterium. RNAcentral's name for it is "bacterial SSU rRNA". It matches the Rfam family "Bacterial small subunit ribosomal RNA", at positions 28 to 507 of the family's 1533-position model. The record is from RNAcentral.
GAUGAACGCUAGCGGCAGGCCUAACACAUGCAAGUCGAGGGGUAUAGUUCUUCGGAACUAGAGACCGGCGCACGGGCGCGUAACGCGUAUGCAAUCUACCUUUUACAGGGGAAUAGCCCAGAGAAAUUUGGAUUAAUGCCCCGUAGUGUUAUAGAAUCGCAUGGUUUUAUAACUAAAGUUCCAACGGUAAAAGAUGAGCAUGCGUCCCAUUAGUUAGUUGGUAAGGUAACGGCUUACCAAGACAAUGAUGGGUAGGGGUCCUGAGAGGGAGAUCCCCCACACUGGUACUGAGACACGGACCAGACUCCUACGGGAGGGCAGCAGUGAGGAAUAUUGGACGAAUGGGCGGCAAGCCUGAUCCAGCCAUGCCGCGUGCAGGAAGACGGUCCUAUGGAUUGUAAACUGCUUUUGUUACAGGAAGAAACACUCCCUCGUGAGGGAGCUUGACGGUACUGUAAGAAUAAGGAGUCGGCUAACUCCGUG